UUAAAAGUAGCUCAGUGUUAGAGCACUUGCCUAGUAUGUGUGAGGCUCUGGGUUUGAUCCCCAGCAUUGCAA
Molecule: transfer RNA, 72 nt
Filed under: Heterocephalus glaber (naked mole-rat)
Lineage: Eukaryota; Metazoa; Chordata; Mammalia; Rodentia; Bathyergidae
Rfam family: tRNA
About the family: Transfer RNA (tRNA) molecules are approximately 80 nucleotides in length.
Source: Rfam by way of RNAcentral